UACGUAGGGUGCUAACGUUGCUCGGAAUCAUUGGGCGUAAAGCGUGGGUAGGCGGAUUGGUAAGUCAGAUGUGAAAUCCCGGGGCUCAACUCCGGAACUGCAUUUGAUACUGCUAGUCUUGAUUUCAGGAGAGGGGAGCAGAAUUCCUGGUGUAGGAGUGAAAUCCGUAGAUAUCAGGAGGAAUACCGGAGGCGAAGGCGGCUCCCUGGACUGACAAUGACGCUAAUCUACGAAAGCGUGGGUAG
RNAcentral lists this ribosomal RNA (245 nucleotides) under uncultured bacterium. RNAcentral's name for it is "partial 16S ribosomal RNA". It matches the Rfam family "Bacterial small subunit ribosomal RNA", at positions 524 to 768 of the family's 1533-position model. The record is from RNAcentral.